AUUGAACGCUGGCGGCAGGCCUAACACAUGCAAGUCGAAUGGUAACAGGAAACAGCUUGCUGUUUCGCUGACGAGUGGCGGACGGGUGAGUAAUGUCUGGGAAACUGCCUGAUGGAGGGGGAUAACUACUGGAAACGGUAGCUAAUACCGCAUAACGUCGCAAGACCAAAGAGGGGGACCUUCGGGCCUCUUGCCAUCAGAUGUGCCCAGAUGGGGUUAGCUAGUAGGUGGGGUAACGGCUCACCUAGGCGACGAUCCCUAGCUGGUCUGAGAGGAUGGCCAGCCACACUGGAACUGAGACACGGUCCAGACUCCUACGGGAGGCAGCAGUGGGGAAUAUUGCACAAUGGGCGCAAGCCUGAUGCAGCCAUGCCGCGUGUAUGAAGAAGGCCUUCGGGUUGUAAAGUACUUUCAGCGGGGAGGAAGGGAGUAAAGUUAAUACCUUUGCUCAUUGACGUUACCCGCAGAAGAAGCACCGGCUAACUCCGUG
RNAcentral lists this ribosomal RNA (490 nucleotides) under uncultured bacterium. Its description in RNAcentral is "partial 16S ribosomal RNA". It matches the Rfam family "Bacterial small subunit ribosomal RNA", at positions 30 to 507 of the family's 1533-position model. The record is from RNAcentral.